GUUACUAAAGAAAAACCCUCAUUGAGAGAAACUAUUGCCCUCUGACAUCCUUUAUUGUGAUUUUGUGGAUAUGCAGCAAGUAGGACGACGGCUAGAGGACAUUUCGGCAUCAAAUGGGAGCCAAACUGGAAGCAAGAAAAUGAGGAAAAGGGUUUCACAGGGCGACACAGUGGCGCAGUAGGUAGUGCUGUUGCCUCACAGCAAGAAGGUCGCUGGUUCGAGUCUCAGCUGGAUCGACAGGAAAUAAAAGAAAACAAACAAGCUAUCGAUUAGGUGUUAACCCUGACGCAGAGGACUAAACAACGCUACUUAUGGAUUUAGACGAGAACAGCAAUAAUCUGCAUGAGGACUUUUUCCAGGAC
Molecule: non-coding RNA, 362 nt
Organism: Danio rerio (zebrafish)
Lineage: Eukaryota; Metazoa; Chordata; Actinopteri; Cypriniformes; Danionidae
Source: Ensembl